CAGUGGGGAAUUUUGCCCAAUGGGGGCAAGCCUGAUGCAGCCCAUGCCGCGGGUAUGAAGAAGGCCUUUCGGGUUGUAAAGUACUUUCAGCGGGGAGGAAGGUGGUGAGGUUAAUAACCUCAGCAAUUGACGUUACCCGCAGAAGAAGCACCGGCUAACUCCGUGCCAGCAGCCGCGGUAAUACGGAGGGUGCACAGCGUUAAUCGGGAAUUACUGGGGCGUAAAGCGCACGCAGGCGGUCUGUCAAGUCGGAUGUGAAAUCCCCGGGCUCAACCUGGGAACUGCAUUCGAAACUGGCAGGCUAGAGUCUUGUAGAGGGGGGUAGAAUUCCAGGUGUAGCGGUGAAAUGCGUAGAGAUCUGGAGGAAUACCGGUGGCGAAGGCGGCCCCCUGGACAAAGACUGACGCUCAGGUGCGAAAGCGUGGGGAGCAAACAGGAUUAGAUACCCUGGUAGUCCACGCCGUAAACGAUGUCGACUUGGAGGUUGUGCCCUUGAGGCGUGGCUUCCGGAGCUAACGCGUUAAGUCGACCGCCUGGGGAGUACGGCCGCAAGGUUAAAACUCAAAUGAAUUGACGGGGGCCCGCACAAGCGGUGGAGCAUGUGGUUUAAUUCGAUGCAACGCGAAGAACCUUACCUACUCUUGACAUCCAGAGAACUUUCCAGAGAUGGAUUGGUGCCUUCGGGAACUCUGAGACAGGUGCUGCAUGGCUGUCGUCAGCUCGUGUUGUGAAAUGUUGGGUUAAGUCCCGCAACGAGCGCAACCCUUAUCCUUUGUUGCCAGCGGUCCGGCCGGGAACUCAAAGGAGACUGCCAGUGAUAAACUGGAGGAAGGUGGGGAUGACGUCAAGUCAUCAUGGCCCUUACGAGUAGGGCUACACACGUGCUACAAUGGCGCAUACAAAGAGAAGCGACCUCGCGAGAGCAAGCGGACCUCAUAAAGUGCGUCGUAGUCCGGAUUGGAGUCUGCAACUCGACUCCAUGAAGUCGGAAUCGCUAGUAAUCGUAGAUCAGAAUGCUACGGUGAAUACGUUCCCGGGCCUUGUACACACCGCCCGUCACACCAUGAGGAGUGGGUUGCAAAAGAAGUAGGUAGCUUAACCUUCGGGAGGGCGCUUACCCACUUUGUGAUUCAUGACUGGGGUGAAGUCGUAACAAGGUAACCGUAGGGGAACCUGCGGU
RNAcentral lists this ribosomal RNA (1180 nucleotides) under Enterobacter asburiae. RNAcentral's name for it is "bacterial SSU rRNA". It matches the Rfam family "Bacterial small subunit ribosomal RNA", at positions 352 to 1518 of the family's 1533-position model. The record is from RNAcentral. Lineage: Bacteria; Pseudomonadati; Pseudomonadota; Gammaproteobacteria; Enterobacterales; Enterobacteriaceae.